UUAUAACCUAGCACAUAAUGUGUACAUAAUGCGCACGUACGCGUCCCACUCUCUUGGCCUCUCUCGCGAUUUUGUCUUAGCGAUUUUGUCGGCACUCAUUUGUCCGUCGCGGUUUUGUCGGCACUCAUAUGUCUAUCGUGCUUUUGUCGGUGAACC
Molecule: long non-coding RNA, 156 nt
Organism: Erpetoichthys calabaricus (reedfish)
Lineage: Eukaryota; Metazoa; Chordata; Cladistia; Polypteriformes; Polypteridae
Exons: 2
Source: RefSeq, a predicted model, not a curated record